CCUACGUGUGGCUGCAGUGGGGAAUAUUGGACAAUGGGGGGAACCCUGAUCCAGCCAUGCCGCGUGUGUGAAGAAGGCCCUCGGGUGGUAAAGCACUUUUAGUGAGGAAGAACGCCUGGUGGUUAAUACCCAUCAGGUAAGACAUCACUCACAGAAGAAGCACCGGCUAACUCCGUGCCAGCAGCCGCGGUAAUACGGAGGGUGCGAGCGUUAAUCGGAAUUACUGGGCGUAAAGCGCGCGUAGGUGGCUUGAUAAGCCGGUUGUGAAAGCCCCGGGCUCAACCUGGGAACGGCAUCCGGAACUGUCAAGCUAGGGUGCAGCAGAGGAAGGUAGAAUUCCCGGUGUAGCGGUGAAAUGCGUAGAGAUCGGGAGGAACACCAGUGGCGAAGGCGGCCUUCUGGACUGACACUGACACUGAGGUGCGAAAGCGUGGGUAGCAAACAGGAUUAGAUACCCGUGUAGUC
Molecule: ribosomal RNA, 465 nt
Filed under: Vreelandella stevensii
Lineage: Bacteria; Pseudomonadati; Pseudomonadota; Gammaproteobacteria; Oceanospirillales; Halomonadaceae
Description: partial 16S ribosomal RNA
Rfam family: Bacterial small subunit ribosomal RNA
Source: RNAcentral